CUCUAGGUGGAGACAAGCCUUUGCCUCCUCUCAAGGGUUAAUCCAGUGGGACAGGCCAGAAUCGGGCCUGGGGAUCCUCCCCGGAAGGCAGGUCCACCUUAAGACAAUGUGCCUUUUCCUUCCCAGAAUUCCCACCCUAGUGCCCUCCCUGAGUCAGGCAGCCCCCACGCUGGACCACCCUUAGAGAACAAUGGCACGAUGUAACCCGCAUGGCAAGAAUGAAGCUUCUCUGAAGAGACACUUGUGCCCCUCAACCUCUCUUACUACUGAAAUGAAACCAUGGACCCCAGAAAUGAGAAUUUCUCCAGGAAUCUCACGUUGGAAGAUGAAAAAGGAUGAGAGCGAAGCGCUGGCUGGGAGGAGAAUUUGUCUGCCACAAAGAGAUUCCACAGAGUUCUAGCAACUUUUCAGACAACCUUGACAGAGGUCUCUACUCAAGACAUCGUGAUAUUGAUUCCCUUUGGGUGGCACUGAAGAUUAGAAAACACCAUGAAAACCUUCAACGAGAUCUUUAUUAAAAGAGAACAGCCGGGCGGUGGUGGCGCACGCCUUUAAUCCCAGCACUCGGGAGGCAGAGCCAGGCGGAUCUCUGUGAGUUCGAGGCCAGCCUGGACUACCAAGUGAGUUCCAGGAAAGGCACAAAGCUACACAGAGAAACCCUGUCUCGAAAAACCAAAAAAUAAAUAAAUAAAUAAAUAAAUAAAUAAAUAAAUAAAUAAAUAAAUAAAUAAAAGAGAACAAACGCUAUGUUUUCCUUAGUGACUUAACACCUGGUUAGUUUGGAAAGCAUAUUGCAUGCAGAGAUGAGGAGAGCUGCUGUAACAGCUGUCCAAGCCCCUCAGGUGUCUGUGUCCUCGGUUCUCUUAAGAGUGCUUAGGGAACGCUACAAUUCUAAGAUUCACUGGGGAAAGCUCUCUCUGGUGCAGGUGAGGGAGCACACGUUCCGCCAUUGCCAGAAGGACUUUUGGGAAAAGGAGAAUGGAGAAAGGCUUCCUUUACCAAAUAUGAAAAUAUACUGAAAGCAUUAAAAAUGAAAAUACUGUGAGUACAGGAUUAGAUAAACUGACCAAUUAAAAUUGAAUACAGAAACCAACUCAAAUACAUAGAAAUGGUUAAAUGUUAUUUAGCAGUUGGCCAUUUGGAGACAAGUUAGCUAUAGCAAUGUCACUUUAUAAUUUAAACAACUUCCCAACGUGACUUGGGGGAGUAACUAGAGGAUGCGGGAGACUAACUCAGGGAUUUGGAGAACAUGACAUGAAAUUAGAAUCUCACAGCAAAGAAAGUUGUGAAAAUACAAAUCAAAGGUAAAAGACAGCCACCAUCUGAAGGGGAAGUAUUUACACCACAAAGCAAAGGAUAUUUAACAAGGAAUGCAAAAAGUUAGUAAACAAAAGACAAACACGAAGCAAUAGAAAAACAGCCAAAGAGUAUGAGCAGACAUAUUUUAAAAUAAAUCCAAUUAGCCAGUAUUCUAUGAAAAUCAACUCAACACCACUAAGAUACAAGAGUGCAAAUGUAUAUAUUUAGUUUAUUACAUCAGAAAUAAUUGGUGAUAACAACUGUUUUUUUUUUUGUUGUUGUUGUUGUUUUUUGUUUUUCAAGACAGGGUUUCUCUGUGUAGCUUUGCGCCUUUCCUGGAACUUAC
Long non-coding RNA from Peromyscus californicus insignis, 1645 nucleotides. RefSeq lists it as uncharacterized. NCBI's taxonomy places the organism in Eukaryota, Metazoa, Chordata, Mammalia, Rodentia, Cricetidae. The transcript is spliced from 3 exons. The record is from RefSeq and is a predicted model, not a curated record.